Molecule: long non-coding RNA, 418 nt
Organism: Papaver somniferum (opium poppy)
Lineage: Eukaryota; Viridiplantae; Streptophyta; Magnoliopsida; Ranunculales; Papaveraceae
Exons: 3
Source: RefSeq, a predicted model, not a curated record
CUCUUAUCGUUCUAACCUGCUCACUUGCUAGAUGCGCCUCUCUCUUCUCCAUUUUUCAUAUCCUCAUUGUUGAAUCCUGAAAGUAAAAAAAAUCAGAAGUAAUCACUUCAAUCUUUGCUCCUAAACCCAAACCCCUUUCUCAUCUUAUUCAUCUUCUCCAAAAAGCUCAAAUGUAAACUGAAAGAUAACAACAACAAUUUGUUUGUAAUUAAACAAACCCCUUAAAUUGCCUUUUAUACCAAGAAAUAAAACUGGUCGAUCUGAAUCGAUUCAGUAUGUUGAUGGUCUUACCGAGGUUCUGAACUAUAUGGAUAUUCAACUGGAACGACCUAAAGUCUGAUGGGGUGAAGCAAAAGUUGGAAUGGCUAAUUAAAAUCAGGAGAAAAAUCUCCAUGUGAACAAUUAAAAUCGGGUUCAA